UACGGAGGGUGCAAGCGUUGUCCGGAAUCACUGGGCGUAAAGGGCGCGUAGGCGGCUCGGUAAGUAGGGGGUGAAAUCCUGCGGCUCAACCGCAGGGCUGCCUUCUAAACUGUCGAGCUCGAGCACGGUAGAGGCAGAUGGAAUUCCCGGUGGUAGCGGUGGAAUGCGUAGAGAUCGGGAAGAACAUCAGUGGCGAAGGCGGUCUGCUGGGCCG
This 214-nucleotide ribosomal RNA is filed under the name uncultured bacterium. RNAcentral describes it as "partial 16S ribosomal RNA". It matches the Rfam family "Bacterial small subunit ribosomal RNA", at positions 524 to 736 of the family's 1533-position model. The record is from RNAcentral.